This 435-nucleotide ribosomal RNA is filed under the name uncultured bacterium. RNAcentral describes it as "bacterial SSU rRNA". It matches the Rfam family "Bacterial small subunit ribosomal RNA", at positions 355 to 786 of the family's 1533-position model. The record is from RNAcentral.
UGAGGAAUAUUGGUCAAUGGGCGGGAGCCUGAACCAGCCAAGCCGCGUGAGGGAAGAAGGCCCUAUGGGUCGUAAACCUCUUUUGUCAGGGAACAAAAGCGAGUAUGUAUACUAGUCUGAGUGUACCUGAAGAAAAAGCAUCGGCUAACUCCGUGCCAGCAGCCGCGGUAAUACGGAGGAUGCGAGCGUUAUCCGGAUUUAUUGGGUUUAAAGGGUGCGUAGGCGGCGAUGCAAGUCAGCGGUAAAAGCCCGGGGCUCAACCCCGGGCGAGCCGUUGAAACUGCAGUGCUAGAGAAGGCGAGAGGUACGCGGAAUGCGCAGUGUAGCGGUGAAAUGCUUAGAUAUUGCGCAGAACUCCGAUUGCGAAGGCAGCGUACUGGCGCCUGACUGACGCUGAGGCACGAAAACCGUGGGGAUCGAACAGGAUUAGAUACC